RNAcentral lists this transfer RNA (54 nucleotides) under Nippostrongylus brasiliensis. RNAcentral describes it as "tRNA-Tyr". Lineage: Eukaryota; Metazoa; Nematoda; Chromadorea; Rhabditida; Heligmosomidae. The record is from RNAcentral.
AAGAUUGUAGUUUAUUAAAAAUAUUAGAUUGUAAAUCUAAAGAUUAAAGUCUUG